Molecule: ribosomal RNA, 460 nt
Filed under: uncultured bacterium
Lineage: Bacteria
Description: partial 16S ribosomal RNA
Rfam family: Bacterial small subunit ribosomal RNA
Source: RNAcentral
CCUACGGGGGGCAGCAGUGAGGAAUAUUGGUCAAUGGACGAGAGUCUGAACCAGCCAAGUAGCGUGAAGGAUGACUGCCCUAUGGGUUGUAAACUUCUUUUAUAUGGGAAUAAAACGUUCCACGUGUGGGAUUUUGUAUGUACCAUAUGAAUAAGGAUCGGCUAACUCCGUGCCAGCAGCCGCGGUAAUACGGAGGAUACGAGCGUUAUCCGGAUUUAUUGGGUUUAAAGGGAGCGUAGGUGGAUUGUUAAGUCAGUUGUGAAAGUUUGCGGCUCAACCGUAAAAUUGCAGUUGAAACUGGCAGUCUUGAGUACAGUAGAGGUGGGCGGAAUUCGUGGUGUAGCGGUGAAAUGCUUAGAUAUCACGAAGAACUCCGAUUGCGAAGGCAGUUCACUGGACUGCAACUGACACUGAGGCUCGAAAGUGUGGGUAUCAAACAGGAUUAGAUACCCUUGUAGUC